This 545-nucleotide long non-coding RNA is filed under the name Panax ginseng (ginseng). Its description in RNAcentral is "long non-coding RNA (PGIN_LNC015430)". The record is from RNAcentral. Lineage: Eukaryota; Viridiplantae; Streptophyta; Magnoliopsida; Apiales; Araliaceae.
UUCAACAAGCAAGGACUGAACCUACUGCUAUUGCUACACCACAACCUACUGCUACUGCUACACCACAACCUACUGCUGAACAAAGGCAAUCUACCCCACACCAAUCUGGGACUGAACCAAGGGCUGCUACUCGAAGGGUAAGCUAUAAACAAUCAUUAUUAUGUUUCAAUGAUGUGAUUGCAUAUUAUGUUAGGUGUUUCAAUACUUGAUCAUUUCCUAAGACUAAUUACAAUUGUGCAUGUAGGUAAGGAAAAUUCCAAGGAUGGUAGCAAGUGUAGGUGGACCAUCUCAUGUUGCAGGUGAAAUUCCUAUAAGGGCAGCAAGUGAAACUCCUAGAAGGGCUGAAAGUGAAGGUGGACCAUCAAAUAGUGACACUAGUGUCUGGAGAGUAAAGGCCAAAAGGACUCUUAUCCAUUGGGAGUGGAGUGAUUAGAGUGAACCUAUUAGUUAAAAUAUUUAUGCUAGUAUGUAUGUAUUUUUGGGCAAUCAAGUUUGAAGGUGGAUGUAUGAAUGUAUUAAGCAAUACUAUUAAUGCUAUAUUUUGG